This 429-nucleotide ribosomal RNA is filed under the name uncultured bacterium. RNAcentral describes it as "bacterial SSU rRNA". It matches the Rfam family "Bacterial small subunit ribosomal RNA", at positions 354 to 796 of the family's 1533-position model. The record is from RNAcentral.
GUCGAGAAUCUUCCGCAAUGGACGAAAGUCUGACGGAGCGACGCCGCGUGGUGGAUGAAGUCCUUAGGGACGUAAACACCUUUUAUGAGGGAAGAAGUAUAUUGACGGUACCUCAUGAAUAAGGGGCUCCCAAUUCUGUGCCAGCAGGAGCGGUAAUACAGAAGCCCCGAGCAUUACCCGGAUUUACUGGGCGUAAAGGGUGUGUAGGUGGUGUGAUUAGUCCUGCGUAAAAUCUUCAAGCUCAACUUGGAGUCCGCGUGGGAAACGGUCACACUCGAGAAGGUGAGAGGUUCAGGGAACUCAUGGUGUAGGGGUGAAAUCCGUUGAUAUCAUGGGGAACACCAAAUGCGAAGGCACUGAACUGGCACUUUUCUGACACUGAGACACGAAAGCGUGGGUAGCGAAUCGGAUUAGAAACCCGGGUAGUCC